CCUACGGGAGGCUGCAGUGGGGAAUAUUGGACAAUGGGCGAAAGCCUGAUCCAGCCAUGCCGCGUGUGUGAAGAAGGCCUUCGGGUUGUAAAGCACUUUCAGUGGGGAAGAAAGCCUUGGGGCUAAUACCCUCGAGGAAGGACAUCACCCACGGAAGAAGCACCGGCUAACUCCGUGCCAGCAGCCGCGGUAAUACGGAGGGUGCGAGCGUUAAUCGGAAUUACUGGGCGUAAAGCGCGCGUAGGCGGUCUGAUAAGCCGGUUGUGAAAGCCCCGGGCUCAACCUGGGAACGGCAUCCGGAACUGUCAGGCUAGAGUGCAGGAGAGGAAGGUAGAAUUCCCGGUGUAGCGGUGAAAUGCGUAGAGAUCGGGAGGAAUACCAGUGGCGAAGGCGGCCUUCUGGACUGACACUGACGCUGAGGUGCGAAAGCGUGGGUAGCAAACAGGAUUAGAUACCCGUGUAGUC
This 465-nucleotide ribosomal RNA is filed under the name Vreelandella stevensii. RNAcentral's name for it is "partial 16S ribosomal RNA". It matches the Rfam family "Bacterial small subunit ribosomal RNA", at positions 338 to 795 of the family's 1533-position model. The record is from RNAcentral. Lineage: Bacteria; Pseudomonadati; Pseudomonadota; Gammaproteobacteria; Oceanospirillales; Halomonadaceae.